Mastomys coucha (southern multimammate mouse) is the source of this 2732-nucleotide long non-coding RNA. RefSeq lists it as uncharacterized. Lineage: Eukaryota; Metazoa; Chordata; Mammalia; Rodentia; Muridae. The transcript has 3 exons. The record is from RefSeq and is a predicted model, not a curated record.
CGUAACUCCAGUUCCAGUGGAUCUGAUGCUUUCUGGCCUCCAUGGGCACCAGGCUUGAUUGGAUUUCAUAUAAUAUGCUUAUGAUAGCCACGUAGAGGAUAUCUGGAAGUGUGAUGGGAGAGUGAGAAGCUUACACCCAUGUUUUCAGCUCUUUCAGGUUUCUUGGUGUUACAGCUCUUCUUGCUUCUGUGGAAUGGCCCCGGCUGCCCAGCGACCACUGCUUAUAUACCCUAUCCCGCUCGUGGCCCUCCUGGAUUGGUCCCCCGGCAAUUGCCUCAUUAGCAUGCACCCGCUCGGGAGGGGUUUGGCGCAUGAUUGGUUAGCAUACGCAUGCUCGAGAGACACCUAAUUUGCAUGAGCCCACUCGGGAGGGGCGCGAGAUUUACCAGGCAAGUCUGAGGCAGUCUGAGUGCCAUCUUGGAAUGGCGACUGGCUUCCCACAUUUUUUCCCAUCUCCCUUUUCAAGGGAUACCACUUACCUGUCUUCUUUUUGUAGAUUAGUUUGCAUUUUCUUUUUUAAAUUGUUUUCAUAUCUUAAAGUUUUAGCUUUGUGGUCAGAAGACAGCUGUUAUGAGUCAGUUCUCUUUCCCAUGGUAGAUCCUAGAGACUGAGUUUAGAUUGUCAGACUUGGUAGCAGUCACUUUACCUGACGAGUCAUCUUGUCAGCCCUACUUUGCAUUUUCUAGUAUUUUAUUUGAGUUACACAGUAGACCCUCUUUUCUGGUUUCUUUCACAUAGCAUAAUUUUGAGACUUAUGAUGACAGAGCUCUCCAAACUUCACUGAUUUACAGAAACAACUAAACUAAAGCUGCAGUUACUGGAGCAUUCAACUUCAUAAAACUUUUUGCUACAGAAUAAAGUUUACAAUAUUGACUUUUGUUUCUCAAGGUUCCCUAAGGUUGAGAAACUCAAGUCUUACUACUAAACAAGAGGAAAUGCUAACUCAUUUCUGGGAACUUAAGCAAUAGCAUAAGAUAUAUAGAUAUAUAUAUAUAUUUAGGGUAGAACUUUAGAAAGGAUAUUAUUCAUAAACUUGUGCUGGGUGUAAAAACAAAAUAGAAAAAUAAAAUUUAUGGGAAACCAAAAUUCAGUACAACCAAAAUUGUAUUCAUUUAAAGGAAAUUAAAAUAAAAUGACAAGGGCAAAGCUGGGCCUGCUAAUUCCAGCAUUGCGAGGCAGGAGGAGCAGGAAUACAAAGCUGGUUUUGGUACAUAGUUUGAAGCUAGCCUCCAAGAGAUUCAGUUUCAAAUUAACAUAACAAGAGCCAAAAAUACAUUAAGAGAAAUUUCUUUUUUGAAAUUUUGUUUGUAAUGUAUGAAGUGCUGCUACCCAAAGUUACCACCAGCCAGUUAGUAAAAUGCUAUGGCAGCCUAUAUAUAACUACAAAGACAGAGGUAAAGUUGGCUCAUCCAUUACCAAGAGAAACUUAAAUUUUUAAAGAAGAACAGAACUAUCUUAAAUUUUGUGUAUAAAUGUAUAUAUAUUUAAAAGAAACACCAUAUUUUGAUUUUUUAAAUUAUAAACAUGUCUAUUCAAAUAGUUCAUGUUUCUCAAGGAUAGGAAAUCUAAGAUUACAGGGCCAUCAUCUGGUGAAGAUAUUCCAUCUUUAUCUUAACAUUGUUGAAAGACCAGCAAACACAUGUAAGACCAGGAGAAAUGGUAGACUACAAACUUCCUCUUUUGAGAACCAACCCACUCACUGGAUGCCUUUAAUCCAUUCCUGAAAGCAAAGACCGCACCACCUAGUCACCACCCAUUAGACACAAUCCUUCAAUGACUGCUACACUGGAGAUUGCUUUCAACACAAGAACUUUGGAGGACAUAUUCAAAUCCGUAAGAGAACUGUAAUUGUAAGAAAUAAGGCAGGUAAAAUGCAGGCAAGCAGUCUACCUUUCAGGAGAUCCCCCAUGCAUGGAAGCCAUGGGUAAUCUGAUUAUACAAGUUGAAAAAUGAUUUUCUGAAGCAAAAUUGUUUUUUUUCUAUUUCUCAUGGGGUCUGUCUUUUCCAGUUGAGAUUGUUCCUGUAAUGAUUAUGACCAGCAGAAUACAGUAAAAAUGAUACUUUUCUAUGUCUACAACUAGAUCUUAAAUAAUUACAAGCCCUACUUCUGGCCCCUUGGCCGGGGAGGCAAGGAUCCUCUCACCAUGCUGAAGAGUAUUCUGCUGACAUAUCAGACAGGUGAAGGAAGGGGCUCAAGCCAAGGCUAUCACUGAGUGCCACUGGAGAGCCUCAGAACAAUGGCACGAGGAACAGAAGUCAUGUAUGUGAGUCAGAUCAAGUGCCAGACCCAGCUUCUGAGAUACAAGUGCCCUAAGUUAUUACUCAUGACAACUAACAUGAUAUCGUGAACAGCAGCCUUGUAUUAAAUGGAAAGAACCUAGAAAGUAUUUUUUUUUCAAAAUGUUUUUGACAACUCAUACAUGUAUUCAAUGUAUGUUGAUGUAUACACUCUUCCUCAGACCAUCCAACACAUCCCCUUCUCACCUUCAAUUUUAUUAGUUAAUGCCUUAUAUAAUCACUUGGCCAACCAACUUGCCUAAAGAGAUGGAUCUCAGUAGUCUGUAAAUUUUUGUUGUUUUUCAAUGAGACUAUAGAACCUCUUAGAGGUAACAUCUUUUUAAGAACUUCUGAAUUUCUGAAGAUUAAGAAAUCUCACUAAAAUUAUUAAAUUAAUGUGUUAUCAAUAGCCUGGUAGAAUUUCUUCAAUUAAAAUUAAACUGCUUGUUCUUGAA